Molecule: long non-coding RNA, 7295 nt
Organism: Equus caballus (horse)
Lineage: Eukaryota; Metazoa; Chordata; Mammalia; Perissodactyla; Equidae
Source: Ensembl
CUUGAAGAGAGGGCAGUAACUUGUGCAAACAAAUCCUGAAGAAGCAAGCAUUGUUUCCGCUGCUGUCAUCAGGGCCGUACAUAUCUCUGCCUGGAGCCAGGCCUGAUUCUGCCCUGCUGAUUGGAAUAUUGGACUUGGAGGUGUCCAUUCUGAUUCCGAAGUCUGUUCCUGUCUCCUGGCCUGUGCCAAACUCUCUUUCCUUAAAGGAUUGCUUUGGCCUUCCUGGAGUUUGUGGAGGAGAAGAAAGCAUCAGAGAAAUGUCAUCUGUCCGGGAGGAGAUUACAAAGGCCAAGUGGAUGAAAGCCACUUCCAUUCGUCUUAACAUCUUCAGUGGACUCUACCACCUACUCAAAUGUGUCAUGUGAGAUUGGAGAGGAGGGAGAAAGAAGGAGGACAUCACCAAGAAAACAAACAAGCAGAAGAAGAGCUGAGCUCCAUCUUGAGUCGGACAGAACACAGGGAAGAAAGAGCUGCCAAAGGUCAGAUGAAAAUGAGACAUUGGAAACCAGAACUGAAGCCAAGUGACCAUGACAAUAUGAGCUUCCCACUUCCACUACGCCAUCCUGGGCAGAGGGCCAUGCUGCCUCCUUGAAAUGCAGGCAGGAAGUGGGGUGAGGGCCAGAUAUUUCUUAAGUCUUGAAGGACAAACUCAUCUCUGCUGACACCUGGGUUUGGGUCUGGAAUAUUUUCACCUCCUACAAUCUACUUUACUUCUUCAGGAGUUUGCCAUUAUCUCUAUCUGCAUUUGCUGCCAUAUAGGGAGACCCAACAGAGAAAAACCAACCCAACAGAGAAAAACACAAUUAACAAGCUUACUUCUCAUGUAGAACCGACUUCUUGAGUACUUCUCAUUGGUCAUCAGCGACCCACUGACACUAAAUUUAAACAAUGUUGCCUAAGAAAUCUGCAUAUUUAAGUUGGACAAUACCUUAAACAUGCUCACCUGCCUGUGACAUCCAAAGAGACAGAGAAAAUAGGAAAGAGUGUGCAUCUCUGACGGUACAGGAGUGAAUGAACACAGGCAUCCAUUAGUCAGUGUGUCCUACAUAAUGAAUGAACAAAUGGGUGGGUGAGUGAAUGAAUGAAUAAACCCACCCUUCAGAAAAUCCUUUCCAGAAUAGAACAUAUUUCUUUAAAAAGUGUUUCCUUCUUUUCCUAAUUGUGAAAAAUCUGAUUAUCUGAUCUGAUCUGCUCUUCAAAUUCUGGUCAUAUUAAUUUUCAUUUGAAUUGUUUUCCCAGAAUGAUCUCUUCACAGGUCCUGAGUCAAAUGCCAAGGAGAGGAGAUAGGCUCUCUGCUGGGUUUAAUGUGGGAGACAAGGAGUCUUCUCGAUUGUUUCCUUUGCAGGUCCCUCUAGUUGUGGGAUGUGGGACGCUGCUCCAAUGUGACCUGAUGAGCGGUGCCAUGUCCGUGCCCAGGAUCUGACCCCUGCGCCGCCACAGCGGAGCGCACGAACGUAACCACUCAGCCGUGGAGUCGGCCCCACAACCGGAAUUUCUUCUAGCAAGCUUUAUGAAUCCUAACAGGUAGUGUAUGACAGCUUCUCAAAAUAGCAGUCUACAUUUUCUGCUUUGACUUCAUUGCUACAAAUUACUCCUUAAUAUUUAACUACUUGCAACUUGGCUCCAACUUCAUUGGAAUUAUUUUCUCCAAGGUCACCAAACUACCUCUUUAUUGAUAGACUCAGUAACAUCUUAAGAAUUUUUGUCCUCCAGGAGCUUUCUGCUGCAUUUGAUGUGACUGAUUUUAUCUUCUUCUUUGUGCAAUAAUGUCCAGCUUUGGCUGACCCAACAUUAUGCUCAUUAGGUUUUCCUCAUACCCUCUUUUUUUCUUUUUUUUGAGGAAGAUUAGCCCUGAGCUAACUGCUGCCCAUCCUCUCUUUUUGCUGAGGCAGACUGGCCCUGAGCUAACAUCCAUGCCCAUCUUCCUCUACUUUUUUUUAAUACGUGGGACGCCUACCACAGCAUGGUGUGCCAAGCGGUGCCAUGUCCAUACCCGGGAUCCGAACCGGUGAACCCCAGGCUCCAGAGAAGCAGAACGUGCAAACUUAACCACUGCGCCACCUGGCUGGCCCCUCCUCAUACCGUCUGAGCACUCUUCUUUCUCCUUCUGGGAGAUUCUUCCUCCAAAUACCCAUCAUAUGUGGCCCUUGUUAAAGGUUUUGUUCUUAGCCAUGUCUCUUUUUUACUUUAGGUGAACUUGAACAUUCUCAUUCUCUAGGGAAAGCUUCUAGCAUCUCUGAGGAUGAUUCACAAAUCUACAUUUCAGCUUUGUGCUCCAAAGCCAAAUGUCCAACUGCUUCUAAAUAUCCUUAGGCGUUCACAUUCAACAUGUCCCAAACCAAAUACUUCAUUAUCACCUUAAAGUCUGCCCCUGAAUUUCCUAAUUCUGAUAACGGACCCACCAUUCUCUCAGUCAUCCAGACUAGAAAUCCUGCUAUCUUUGACUUUUCCCAAUAUGGUUCUAUAUAGUAACUAGAAAAAAAAUAUGUAAAAGCUUAAGAAGAGUUGUAUGCUUGCUUUGGAGACAGUGAAGUAGGGAGAAACUGGGAAUUCACUCCUAAUUCAUAAGUGGUCUGGAGGGUGAGGCAGCCACUGAGAGAGCGUGCUGGCAGUCACUACAUCAGUGAAUUGCAAGUUCUGUUGGUAAUGCCUCCAAUAUGUUUCUCUUUCUGUCUCUUCCUUUCCGGCCACACUGCACUAGUUUAGUACCUUGUGUCGUUUGUCCUGGAUUAUUGUAAUAGCCUCCUAGAUGUAAGGCCGUGGGCUGGAUUCUCAACAUCUUCCUGCACAAGUCAGGACAAGAGAGAUGCGAGCAAGCAGUAAAACUUAGCCGCGGGUAGAGAGAGUGGGAAGGAGGGUGGUUAGCUGACGAUUAGAGAAACAUAAGGCAACAGUGUGCAGUGGACCUCAACAAAGUUGGUGCUGUCUUGGGUCACAGUUUCAGACCUAGAAUGAGAAAGGUGAUCAGACCUCUCUAGUUGGAGGGUGUCACAAAGUUGGAUCACUGCCUUCUGUUCUUGCAACAACACAUGAAAAGAAAUAGAGACAAGGGGCUGGCCAAGUGGCGCAGAGGUUAAGUUCCUGCAUUCCACUUUGGCGGUCUGGGGUUUGCAGGUUCGGAUCCCGGGUGUGGACCUACACACCACUUGUCAAGCCAUGCUGUGGCAGGCGUCCCACAUAUAAAGUAGAGGAAGAUGGGCACGGAUGUUAGCUCAGGGCCAAUCUUCCUCAGCAAAAAGAGGGGAUUGGCAGCGGAUGUUAGCUCAGGGCUAAUCUUCCUAAAAAAAAAAGAGACAAUAUGGAGUUUAUUUGAGAGAGUCAUCAGGGUAAUGAAGGGCCCUAAAGUUAUAUCUCAUGAAGAAUGUUGACUAACUGGAGAUAUUUAACUUGGAGAAAAUACAACAGAGAGAUUAUGGUUGGCUUCAUAUAUAUAAAAAACUAUCUUGUGGAAAUCACCUAAGAACUUUAUAAAUGUCAGUGUUGUCCUGAGAUGGAAUGCAUUCAUUUCAACAGAUAUUUGUUGUAUGCCUGCUCUGUGCCAGGCACUGAGGAUAUGUGAUAAGCAAGACAGUCCCUAUCAUCAUCGAACUUGAUUUCUGAUCUGACAGACAACAAGCGAAUGAACAAAUACGUAAAUGAGUAAUAUAAAUUCCAGAAAGUGAUGGGAUCAGAUGCUAGGAGUAUGUGAGCCUAGAUUUUGGGACCACUUGGCAGGAAGGUUUUAGAAGAGAUUUAAGCAUUAGAUGGAUUAUUGGAUCAGAUGACCUUAGGGGACCCUUCAACCCCAAGAAUUUAUGAUUCUGCUUUUCUACUAUUAUCUACCAAAUUAGGACUUCCUCUCAGAUACCCUAAGGCUUAGAAACCCCCAACUCCUUGCUAUUCCAGGAACAAGCCCUGUACUGCGGUUAGUGAGUCAGCAAUGACUCAGUGUGAGUAUUUGCCCAUGUGGUUCAUUUGCCUGGAAUGCCUUUCUCUAACUUCUCUGCCUCUCAAAAUCCUCCUUGUCCAACAAGGCUUAACCCAAAGAUAAACUUUUUAAUCAAGAUUUCUGGGUACCCUGAAAUAUGUUGUUCCCCACUCUGGCCCAGCAACACUCAGCUUGUAACACUAUUAAAGCCCUCACUGUGUUUUACUUGUAUUGGAGUUCACUAUUUCUCAGUCUGCUUCCCUACUAGCUUCUGAUUUUCUUGAGGGCAGGGACCAAAUCUUCCUUCUUUUAUAAUGGUCCAUAGUGCGAAUCUCCUAGUCAUUGCUUUGCACUCAGAAGAUAUUCAACAAAUAAAUGAAUGUGACUCCAGGCAAUAAAUACGUUCAUUAUUAUCUGAAGUGAAUUAGACAUGACCAUUGCUUUAAGUAGGAAAAGGAAUAACCUAUUGGUUUAACCAAGAAUCUUCUCUCCCAAUCUCUGCUAUAUCCCUCUCUGCUUACUAGCUAUGUAGCCCUGAGCACAUUGCCUAACAUCUUAAUGCCUCAGUUUCUUCGUGUAUACAAUGGCAAUAAUAAUAGUACCUACUUCAUAAGAUUUUUGCAAGGAUGAACAAUCCCCAUCAAGAGGCUAGGUCAGCACCUACCACAUAAUUAGCCCUCACUAAAUAUUAGCAAUUAUUAUUAUAAUGAUGAUUAGGCAUUCCUGCCCUCCAGUAGCUUUAAAAGUAUGGUUUCAUAGGAAGAAACAAGAAUUUUUGAACAGAAAUUACAAAAGAACGCAGAUGACUGAUUUUAUAUUAGGUAAAGCUUCCAUCAUCCCUAUUAGGCAAAGACAAUUUGACAUAUAAAAUUAAGAGGGAAGCCCCUACUUGUGUUGACUUGGAAAAUAGUGUAAUAGAAGAACUAACUAUAGUUACCAGCAAGAGCCCCUGUAGGGGAUGGGCCUUAGAGACAACCUCCCCUCUAUGGAAGAGAAAGAGAUGGUUCAGAGAGGUUCAGUGGUUUGCUCAAGGUCACACAGCUGACUGUCAGAAUGGGGAGACUAACGUUAACCUUCCAGGUCUGCCUGGCUCCUUAGCCCCUGCUCUUUCCACUGCACCCUGCUGCCUUCCAGUUGCAUGGCUGAAGACACCACAGAUUGGAGAUGCAGUUAGUCCAAAGCCUCACAGGCCCCAAUUCUUCAUUGCUAGCACUGUAUGGGCAGCAAGCCUGAUUUCAGACUCUUGGGGCUGAGGCUGCUGAUUCUCUUCCGGGCGUAGGGAGAACUGACUCACAGGCUCAGGCAGGCUGGGCCCUGCAGGGGGAGGUUCUCUGGGGCUCCAUCUCUGAAGGCUGGGGACAUGGCAGAGGUAAAAGAUCUGAGGUCUGUCUGACGUGCAUUUAACCCAGGAGAGGGAAGAGAGCAUGACAUGGUUCUGUAUCUAAUGUGUCCAGAAGACAAUCCCUGGAAUGGACCAAGACGUACCCAAAAUGCCAAAGCCGAGGAAAAGGAUGUGUGACUUAUGCUUGGAGCAAGAAGCAACAAUCAGAAAGGAUAGACCUCAUGGCCUUGCUCUUUGAGAAGUGGGUGUAAUGUUAACGAAAAAUUGAAAGGAGUUAGAGUUACUCUGAUCCCAAGCAAGGGAACGGUGUUCAACAGCUGAGGUUAGAAUAAACAGAGAGGAGGAACUGAAGCCCACCCGAGAGGGGAGGUGGUACAAGCACAUCUUGCAGGUUUUUUUGAGUCUUGGGCUUAAAAGAAUUAUAUGCCAAGAGACUGAUUGGCUAACAUUGACCUUUAUAUUAUUAAUACAUUAUAUUUAGAUAGACCUUUUCACUUAUAAACACUUCUCGUUUCAUAGUCAACAAAUUCAAUUUAAUAAACGUUUAUUAAGUUUUUGCUUAUGCAAAGCGCAAUCACUGUUCUCCACUCAAAUUGGAUGACACGAUCUGUGAAGUCUUCCCCAAAUAUAGAUCCAGUGCACCCUGCUUCUUGUCCUGGGUCACAAAGGGCUCUUGGUGCACCUCUGCCACGUGCCAGGAAAGAGGGAGGCCUUGGACGAAAUGCAGCAUCUUCCUGAAGAGUCAAUUACUUGAGGAUUUGUCUGGAUGCUUGUAGGGGUAGGGGUGGGGGGUGCAUUUCUGUAUUGAGGCAAACAACCAUUUUCCAUUUUGUGGAGUACAGGGCAAAGUCUGCUCCUUUGAGCUUUGUUAUGGGAAGAUCCCAGUGUAAUAGGGAUGUUUCUUUAGUGGUGAAGUCUGAAAAGUAUUAAAUCUUAACCUGGACACUUAGACUAAUGAACUUACUUGUAGGCAUAUUAAAACUUCAUUGAUUUAGGCUCCAUUUAUUUGGAAUUUUUAAUAAUUUGCAUAAGUACUAUAGUCUAUGUAAACGUGAAAACAAUGAUGAGAGCUAUUUUAUUUUUUUAAGUUCCAUGGUGAUGAUUUAAAUAUUAAAGAAAAUUUAUUUAAAAAACACCCUCAGAUUAUAAUGAGUAAUUUGCAUUCAAAUACUUAAUACACGAAUUGUAAGUAUUCUUAUCUACUCAUCAAAGCAGAUUCGGAAAGUUGAUCAGUCUCACUUUGAAUUACAUUAUGUAUUUGAACAUUUACAAAACUUCCUUUGAUUUUCUUUAACAAUAUUCUUAUAAUCAAGGGUUUUCCUUCACUUUUUUCCUCUUCCUGCCAUUCGUGAUAAUCAGUAAGGUUUAAAUCACUAACCACCUCCCAUUUUCUACCACAUAAACCUUCUAAAGAGGGUGUGGUUUCCUAGCUUCCAGUUGGACAAGUUGUAACAGGGUCAUUGUACUGACGUUCCCCAAUACGGUUACCCUUAUGACCUUGUUAACUUCAAUUCAGAGGAAAAACUCAGCAAACAAUAAUAACCCAAUGGGCCAUUCCCCAGAGUAACCCUGACACACCUGUUAAUCAUUUCUUGCCCUGAACCAUUCAUUCUAUUUAGAUAGAAGAAAUUGUCACAAAUUUCCCUUCCAAAGCCAGGAGAACAAAAGUUUCCAGAUUAAUUCCCAGCUUUAGUGAAUUCCCUAUUAAGAGGGGGGCAAAUUCUACAUAAAGAUCCUUUGCUUCAAACACAGUAUGUUGUAAGCACAUUGAGUUUUUAAUUCUCAAUAUUGCUUCAUGCAUCAUUUAUCCCAUGCCACGCUGUUCUCUGCAUACCAGUCAGUUCUACUCAUCCCGUCCCAGUGCUCAGGACUGGAGGAACAAAUUGUGUGGGGAAUAGAAAGCACGUUUUCUUGGCCACAAUGGAAGGGCUGUGUGUGGCAUAUAUACCACCUCACUUCUCUGGGCUUUAGUUUCCCCGACUAUGAAAUGCAGGGGUUGGAAUGAGCACCACCUUUUUGAUGACUGCUGGCUUCAACAGUACCUGC